GCUAAGUAAGGGCGUAUGGGGAAUGCCUAGGCUCUCAGAGGCGAUGAAGGACGUGAUAAGCUGCGAAAAGCUGCGGGGAUCGGCACACACGAUAUGAUCCGCAGGUAUCCGAAUGGGGCAACCCGUUAUAUUGAAGGUAUAACAUCCGCAAGGAGGCAAACCCGGGGAACUGAAACAUCUAAGUACCCGGAGGAAAGGACAUCAAUUGAUACUCCCCUAGUAGCGGCGAGCGAACGGGGACCAGCCAAGCCUUGAGAGUGACUAGAACAUGUUGGGAAGCAUGGCCAUAGCGGGUGACAGCCCCGUAUAGGAAGCUCGAUAGGAUGUAUUAAGUAGGGCGGGACACGUGAAAUCCUGUCUGAAGAUCGGAGGACCACCUUCGAAGGCUAAGUACUCCUUACUGACCGAUAGCGAACCAGUACCGUGAGGGAAAGGUGAAAAGCACCCCGACGAGGGGAGUGAAACAGUACCUGAAACCGAACGCCUACAAUCAGUCGGAGCUUG
This 504-nucleotide ribosomal RNA is filed under the name Ochromonas sp. CCMP1393. RNAcentral describes it as "partial Bacterial large subunit ribosomal RNA". It matches the Rfam family "Bacterial large subunit ribosomal RNA", at positions 1 to 583 of the family's 2925-position model. The record is from RNAcentral. Lineage: Eukaryota; Chrysophyceae; Chromulinales; Chromulinaceae.